Molecule: ribosomal RNA, 253 nt
Filed under: uncultured bacterium
Lineage: Bacteria
Description: partial 16S ribosomal RNA
Rfam family: Bacterial small subunit ribosomal RNA
Source: RNAcentral
CACGUAGGGCGCAAGCGUUGUCCGGAAUUAUUGGGCGUAAAGGGCGCGUAGGCGGUUCGGCAAGUCUCUAGUGAAAUCUCAGGGCUCAACUCUGAGUCUGCUGGGGAAACUGCCGGGUUUGAGUGUGGGAGAGGAGAGUGGAAUUGCCGGUGUAGUGGUGAAAUGCGUAGAGAUCGGCAGGAACACCCAGGGGGAAACCAGUGGACUGGGCAUGUGCUGACGCUCAGGUGCGAAAGCGUGGGGAGCGAACCGG